CGAACGCUGGCGGCGUGCUUAACACAUGCAAGUCGAACGGAAAGGCCCUGCUUUUGUGGGGUGCUCGAGUGGCGAACGGGUGAGUAACACGUGAGUAACCUGCCCUUGACUUUGGGAUAACUUCAGGAAACUGGGGCUAAUACCGGAUAGGAGCUCCUGCUGCAUGGUGGGGGUUGGAAAGUUUCGGCGGUUGGGGAUGGACUCGCGGCUUAUCAGCUUGUUGGUGGGGUAGUGGCUUACCAAGGCUUUGACGGGUAGCCGGCCUGAGAGGGUGACCGGCCACAUUGGGACUGAGAUACGGCCCAGACUCCUACGGGAGGCAGCAGUGGGGAAUAUUGCACAAUGGGCGGAAGCCUGAUGCAGCAACGCCGCGUGCGGGAUGACGGCCUUCGGGUUGUAAACCGCUUUCGCCUGUGACGAAGCGUGAGUGACGGUAAUGGGUAAAGAAGCGCCGGCUAACUACGUG
RNAcentral lists this ribosomal RNA (466 nucleotides) under uncultured bacterium. RNAcentral's name for it is "partial 16S ribosomal RNA". It matches the Rfam family "Bacterial small subunit ribosomal RNA", at positions 30 to 507 of the family's 1533-position model. The record is from RNAcentral.